GCCGACGUGGCUAAGGGGUAUAGCGGCGCCUUGGUAAGGCGCAGGUCGCGGGUCCGAUUCCCGUCGUCGGCU
Molecule: transfer RNA, 72 nt
Filed under: Thermoplasmata archaeon
Lineage: Archaea; Methanobacteriati; Thermoplasmatota; Thermoplasmata
Also listed under: 1 other name
Description: tRNA-Thr
Rfam family: tRNA
About the family: Transfer RNA (tRNA) molecules are approximately 80 nucleotides in length. Their secondary structure includes four short double-helical elements and three loops (D, anti-codon, and T loops).
Source: RNAcentral